Molecule: ribosomal RNA, 492 nt
Filed under: uncultured bacterium
Lineage: Bacteria
Description: bacterial SSU rRNA
Rfam family: Bacterial small subunit ribosomal RNA
Source: RNAcentral
UUAUCCGGAUUUAUUGGGUUUAAAGGGAGCGUAGGUGGAUUGUUAAGUCAGUUGUGAAAGUUUGCGGCUCAACCGUAAAAUUGCAGUUGAAACUGGCAGUCUUGAGUACAGUAGAGGUGGGCGGAAUUCGUGGUGUAGCGGUGAAAUGCUUAGAUAUCACGAAGAACUCCGAUUGCGAAGGCAGCUCACUAGACUGUUACUGACACUGAUGCUCGAAAGUGUGGGUAUCAAACAGGAUUAGAUACCCUGGUAGUCCACACAGUAAACGAUGAAUACUCGCUGUUUGCGAUAUACAGUAAGCGGCCAAGCGAAAGCAUUAAGUAUUCCACCUGGGGAGUACGCCGGCAACGGUGAAACUCAAAGGAAUUGACGGGGGCCCGCACAAGCGGAGGAACAUGUGGUUUAAUUCGAUGAUACGCAGGAACCUUACCCGGGCUUAAAUUGCACAGAAUAUAUUGGAAACAGUAUAGCCGUAAGGCUGUGUGAAGGUGC